GGUGAAAAGGGAAUAAGGGCACUGUGUCUCUUAAGCUGCUUCCUGUUAUCUAGGGCCGUCAUCAAUUUUGGGGUGUAGCUGACUUUUACCAUCAGGAUCCACUUGUCUAUAUAGAAAGUCAAGAAAGAAGAUGUGCAGCCAUUGAGGAACAAAGACAGCUCUCCCAACUGCUUCAGGUGGUGAGAGCUGAGUAGGGAGAGUGCCUCAUCUCCCUUCCCCUCCCUAUCCUCUCCCCCAACCUAUACACACCACCUGGAGGCAGACACACUCCCUUGACCAGGGCCAGCAUUACUGGCUGUGCAGAGUGUGCUGAGUCCUCUGUGGCUGCUAUAGAUGGGACAAUGUGACACAGUUCUACCUAUGGAGCAGAGCUAGCAAGAUGUUCUCCCUGCCAACGUUACCAUGGAAUGCUCUCUCUGACAAGGUUGAUGGCUCCAUGACAAUUAGAAGCAACACAAAUCUGGAAGCCUGUCCUUGAUCCAGAUAUCCCUCCUCAGGAAGACGAACUCUCCAUAGGUCAUCCUCCAGCUGGGAUCUCUCUGCUCUAUGUUCUGUCUCUUCUUCUUCUUUUUUUUUUUUUGUACCUUCUUAAUAUACAGUUGAGUUUAACUUAAUAUAGUAAUUCAGUAGCUAUGUGCCAAGCUUUGAUGACUUUUUCUCUUCUAGCCCC
Long non-coding RNA from Mus musculus (house mouse), 670 nucleotides. RefSeq annotates it as predicted gene, 41279. The transcript has 5 exons. The record is from RefSeq and is marked validated. Lineage: Eukaryota; Metazoa; Chordata; Mammalia; Rodentia; Muridae.